GAGAAAAGAUAACCCCGCCUGUCCUUCGCCUCCUCCAAUGAAAAGAUGUCCCAUAGCAGAUUCUUCAGGGCCUUUUUUUUUUUAAAACCAAUUGUGUGAGCAUAGCAUUUGAGUGUAGUUUUUACCCUUAAAUAGAAUGGUCUAUUCAACGGAAGCAAAGCAUUUAUUUGUCUGUGUACCCGUCUUUUUUUUCCCCUUUCUCUCAAACGUUGAGGAGGUCUAAAAUGACAGUUGCGACAUUGCCAGGUUUAUCUUUGGACAUCCAAGAUCCCACAACUACCCCACAAGCGGUUUUUCCCAAAUUAAAAAAGAAAACCUGGGCAAGUGAAUACCUGCUGGACCUUUAAUUGGGAAGACCCCGAGGCAGAGAAAGGUUUCAGAGAAAUGAAAAGUAUGUUUCCUCCCAAAAGAUUUAGUCCUUUGGGCUUAAUGAACUUGAAGUUUUAUGAUUCUGUCUGUCUGGAAGCAUUCUGGAAAGCCACAGAGGAGUUGAAAUUGAAAGAACUGUUCACAGAGGUCUCCAUUAUUCAAGAACUAGUGAAUCUCUUCUCUUAAGUCUGAGUUCUCCACAUUUGCCUAAGAAUGAGGAAAGAGAUUCCAUUUGGAAUGAGAGGAGAAAAGAAUUGUCUGUCAGAUAUUCUAUCAGAACUAUUAUGAAACAUACACUAAAAGACUUACCACAGUCUUCACUUGGGGCCUACAUUUUCCCUGGAGAAAUAUAUCUCUGGAGAGGAGAAGAAAGAAGAUAAGAGAGAAGGGCUCACCAGAAAAUCUGUAAGUCAAUUGAAAUGGAUUUUGGCACACAAUAACAUUCAUAUUGGACCUAGAAGAUUGCAGAAUGAAGAGAGCUGCUUAUCUCCACUGAUAUUUGAGUAGGUGAAGGGCAUUUCCAAAUUGGAGAAUCAUUCCACAGAGCAGCAGCACAUUUUCUCCAUCUUGCAAAUGUUUUAUCCUACUUGGUUUCAUCUAUCAUUGUCCUUAAAGUGAUGCCUCCAAUAGAAGUUAGCAUAAGGAUCUUGAAAUACUAUGGGUCUAGUUUUCUUAAGAUCUUAUAAUUCUAAUUUGUCUACAGCCUGCUUUCUUUACAAUCCAAGAAAAUAUUGGAGAGAAUUCUUUUCUGUUUUACUGAGCUAAAUGACUCAUAAAAGAUUUUUAAUGUGGAAAGAAAAUUAUUAGAACAUUAUGUCAUUAGUCAUAUUCCUUGGUUCAGUAAAUAAAAAGCGACAAGAGAACA
Molecule: long non-coding RNA, 1234 nt
Filed under: Monodelphis domestica (gray short-tailed opossum)
Lineage: Eukaryota; Metazoa; Chordata; Mammalia; Didelphimorphia; Didelphidae
Description: lncRNA (ENSMODG00000032378.2)
Source: RNAcentral